Molecule: long non-coding RNA, 528 nt
Organism: Lemur catta (Ring-tailed lemur)
Lineage: Eukaryota; Metazoa; Chordata; Mammalia; Primates; Lemuridae
Exons: 3
Source: RefSeq, a predicted model, not a curated record
CUUCUGCCCACCCCACGAGGACAUAACAUACCCGGUGUCUCACUCAAAUCCAGCUGCUGCUACUGACUUAUUGAUGGCCACCAUCCAGUGGCCUUGGGGAGGCAGUGGGCAGCCCAGCCAUGGCCUGUAAUAAGGAGAGACAACUCAGCACCUGCCCUGCAGUGAAUAAUAGAACAAAAAGCUGCCGGCGCCUGCAGGAUCAAAGCGCAAGAAGAAAAUUUGGACACAGAGGCACAGAGGGAAGAUGGUCAUGUGAAGAUGAAGGCGGAGAUUGGAGUUAAGUAUCCGCAAGCUAAGGAACUCCUGGGGCUCCCAGAAGCUGGAAGAAACAAAGAUCCUUCCCCCAGAGACUUCGGAGGGAGGAUGGCCCUGCAACAUCUUUGUUUUGGCCUUCUAGCUCCAGGCCUGGGAGAGAAUACAUUUCCGUUGUUUUAAACCCAGUUUGUGGUGCUUUAUGGCAGCAGCCCUACGACACUAUGACACCCGGAUAUGAAGGAUGUGUGGUCAUGCUUGAUCUUGAUUUUCAGU